RNAcentral lists this ribosomal RNA (465 nucleotides) under uncultured bacterium. RNAcentral's name for it is "partial 16S ribosomal RNA". It matches the Rfam family "Bacterial small subunit ribosomal RNA", at positions 28 to 507 of the family's 1533-position model. The record is from RNAcentral.
GACGAACGCUGGCGGCGUGCUUAACACAUGCAAGUCGUACGGUAAGGCCCUUUCGGGGGUACACGAGUGGCGAACGGGUGAGUAACACGUGCGUAACCUGCCCACAACUUUGGGAUAACGCUAGGAAACUGGUGCUAAUACUGGAUAUGUGCUCCUGCUUCAUGGUGGGGGUUGGAAAGCUCCGGCGGUUGUGGAUGGACUCGCGGCCUAUCAGCUUGUUGGUGGGGUAGUGGCCUACCAAGGCGGCGACGGGUAGCCGGCCUGAGAGGGUGACCGGCCACAUUGGGACUGAGAUACGGCCCAGACUCCUACGGGAGGCAGCAGUGGGGAAUAUUGCACAAUGGGCGCAAGCCUGAUGCAGCAACGCCGCGUGCGGGAUGACGGCCUUCGGGUUGUAAACCGCUUUCAGCAGGGACGAAGCUUUUUGUGACGGUACCUGCAGAAGAAGCACCGGCUAACUACGUG